This 435-nucleotide ribosomal RNA is filed under the name uncultured bacterium. RNAcentral's name for it is "partial 16S ribosomal RNA". It matches the Rfam family "Bacterial small subunit ribosomal RNA", at positions 29 to 507 of the family's 1533-position model. The record is from RNAcentral.
AGCGAACGCUGGCGGCAGGCUUAACACAUGCAAGUCGAGCGGGCACUUUCGGGUGUCAGCGGCGGACGGGUGCGUAACGCGUGGGAACGUGCCCUCUGGUUCGGAAUAACUCAGGGAAACUUGAGCUAAUACCGGAUACGCCCUUUUGGGGAAAGGCUUGCUGCCGGAGGAUCGGCCCGCGUCUGAUUAGCUAGUUGGUGAGGUAACGGCUCACCAAGGCGACGAUCAGUAGCUGGUCUGAGAGGAUGAUCAGCCACACUGGGACUGAGACACGGCCCAGACUCCUACGGGAGGCAGCAGUGGGGAAUAUUGGACAAUGGGCGCAAGCCUGAUCCAGCCAUGCCGCGUGAGUGAUGAAGGCCUUAGGGUUGUAAAGCUCUUUUAUCCGGGACGAUGAUGACGGUACCGGAGGAAUAAGCCCCGGCUAACUUCGUG